GUGCACGCUGGCGGUAGGCCUAACCCAUGCAAGUCGAACGGCAGCACAGUAAGAGCUUGCUCUUACGGGUGGCGAGUGGCGGACGGGUGAGGAAUACAUCGGAAUCUACUUUUUCGUGGGGGAUAACGUAGGGAAACUUACGCUAAUACCGCAUACGACCUACGGGUGAAAGCAGGGGAUCUUCGGACCUUGCGCGAUUGAAUGAGCCGAUGUCGGAUUAGCUAGUUGGCGGGGUGAAGGCCCACCAAGGCGACGAUCCGUAGCUGGUCUGAGAGGAUGAUCAGCCACACUGGAACUGAGACACGGUCCAGACUCCUACGGGAGGCAGCAGUGGGGAAUAUUGGACAAUGGGCGCAAGCCUGAUCCAGCCAUACCGCGUGGGUGAAGAAGGCCUUCGGGUUGUAAAGCCCUUUUGUUGGGAAAGAAAAGCAGCAGGUUAAUACCCCGCUGUUCUGACGGUACCCAAAGAAUAAGCACCGGCUAACUUCGUG
RNAcentral lists this ribosomal RNA (491 nucleotides) under uncultured bacterium. RNAcentral describes it as "partial 16S ribosomal RNA". It matches the Rfam family "Bacterial small subunit ribosomal RNA", at positions 29 to 507 of the family's 1533-position model. The record is from RNAcentral.